This is a non-coding RNA of Paramisgurnus dabryanus, 773 nucleotides long. NCBI's taxonomy places the organism in Eukaryota, Metazoa, Chordata, Actinopteri, Cypriniformes, Cobitidae. The record is from RefSeq and is a predicted model, not a curated record.
AUAAAUACUGAAUAACUAAAUCCCUCACACACAAUGGAAAAAACGCGCUUUUAUUUUGACACGCGCCCAUCCCCCCACAUCUCACGGUCUGACUGGAGUCGAGUUUCACAGAGCAACGCAACAGGAGGAUGACACAACAGUUAUAAGAGCAUUAACAGUAAGGACUAACAUUAACUGACUGUCUGUCCUCAACCAAAGUCAUUCAAGACCUGUAAAAGUUUAGCACAAACGUUUCCCGCGCAAGUUUGAAUCUCUCUCAGUCAGGGGAGAUUAACUGACUGACUGACUGUCUACAUGCCACCAAACAGUAAUUUAUACAGAAACCUUUUAAAGUAAGGACUAACAUUAACUGACUGUCUGUCUGUCUGUCUGUUCUCAAGCAAAGUCAUUCAAGACCUGUUAAAGUUUAGCACAAACGUUUCCCGCGCAAGUUUGAAUCUCUCUCAGUCAGGGGAGAUUGACUGACUGACUGACUGUCUACACGCCACCAAACAGUAAUUUAUACAGAAACCUUUUAAAGUCAUUCAAGACCUGUUAAAGUAAGGACUAAGGUUAACUGUCUGUCUGUCUGUCUGUCUGUCGGUUCUCAACCAAAGUCAUUAAAGACCUGUUAAAGUUUAGCACAAAAGUUUCCAGCACAAGUUUGGAUCUUUACCAUUGAGGGUGGCUGACUGUUCUCGACCAACCAUCAUUCACACGCAAAAACUUUAAAGAUAAGUAUGAACGUGCCCAGAGCAGUUUUCGAUCUUUACUAUUAAGGAGGCUGACUGACU